CACUCCUACGGGAGGCAGCAGUGGGGAAUUUUGGACAAUGGGCGAAAGCCUGAUCCAGCAAUGCCGCGUGUGUGAAGAAGGCCUUCGGGUUGUAAAGCACUUUUGUCCGGAAAGAAAUCCUUGGCUCUAAUACAGUCGGGGGAUGACGGUACCGGAAGAAUAAGCACCGGCUAACUACGUGCCAGCAGCCGCGGUAAUACGUAGGGUGCGAGCGUUAAUCGGAAUUACUGGGCGUAAAGCGUGCGCAGGCGGUUUGCUAAGACCGAUGUGAAAUCCCCGGGCUCAACCUGGGAACUGCAUUGGUGACUGGCAGGCUAGAGUAUGGCAGAGGGGGGUAGAAUUCCACGUGUAGCAGUGAAAUGCGUAGAGAUGUGGAGGAAUACCGAUGGCGAAGGCAGCCCCCUGGGCCAAUACUGACGCUCAUGCACGAAAGCGUGGGGAGCAAACAGGAUUAGAAACCCUAGUAGUCCCAUG
Molecule: ribosomal RNA, 474 nt
Filed under: uncultured organism
Description: partial 16S ribosomal RNA
Rfam family: Bacterial small subunit ribosomal RNA
Source: RNAcentral